AUUCGGUGUUGUUCUUAGUGUGCAGUCAUGAUGAUCUUAGGUUAUCAUUUAUACUUCAGCAGCUUCACUGAGCACUACUUACAACGGAGCCAUUGAGCAAUUUUAAUUGACUUAGAGAUUACAACGAACCUCUCUAAUUAAGAUGUAUCACUGUGUACCACACGUAGAGAGAACUGCAGUUCAGCACAAGGCAGCCCAUCCUGUCAGGGGCUUCAAAUUAGUUCUGUUUUUAAAUAGAGAUGACGUAAAACAUUCCUGUAGAAAACUAAGAAUUUGCUGAGAGGAUAGAGUAAAAAGUUCCAUCUUACAUCUAAAGAGAGAAAUUAAAGCCCUCAUUAAUUAUUGUGAGAUUACUGGGAUGGGGCUCCUUCUCUCCUUCCCUCCUUUUGUGUGUAUUUUGGCCAUUGUAGUAGUUAGAUUCCUUUCAGUUGCAACUAACGAGAAACUUAAUUCAACUGAUAGGUAACUGUGGUUGAGAGGCAGCAUGGGCUCCAGCCAUGAGAAGACCAGGAGCUUGUCCUGUUUCUCCGCUCUUGUCUUGGUUCUUUUCUCUGCAUUGUUUUUAUUCUCAGGCUGGCUUCUCCCCUUGUGUUAAUAUGAUUGCCAGCAAUAAUCCAAGGAGGCAUGCUUCCUCGGUCAUGUCCAGAAGAAAAUAGCUCUUCUUCAAUAUGUAAGACACCUUAAUUAUUACCAAAUAUCUAUUCUUCCUUGUGACAGCUGAUUUUAUGUGUCAACUUGACUAGGCUAAGGGAUGCCCAGAUGUCUGGUAAAAUGUGUGUCUUCUGGAAACACCCAUUGGAAGAGAUUAGCAUUUGAAUCAGCAGACUGAGUAAAGCAAAGAAUCCUCACCCAAUCAGGUGGACCUCAUUCAAUCUGCUGAGGGCCUGAUUACAGCAAAAAGGAGGGGGAGGGGAAAUUUGCUCUCUGCCUGAGCUGAGUGCCCCAGACAUCAGUGCUCCUGGUUGUGGGGCCUUACAACUUGGACCAGGACUUACAAGGUUGUGCCUCCCUGCACCCUGCCACCUUCUUGGGCUUUUGGACUGCUGAUGGGACUUAUGUCAUUGACUCCUCUGGUUCUGAAGCUUUCAGACUUGUACUGAACUAAAGCAUUGGCUUUCCUUGUUCUCCGGCUUGUGGAUGGCAGUUCAUGGGACACUGUGACUUCCAUAAUCACGCCACAGGGUACCCCUGUCAUCUUUUUCCACAAGGAGGACUUAGAAUAGCCAGUGACAUAAAUGAUGAGCACCUGGACUUGGAAGAACCUGGUGUCCUAUUCAGCAGUUUGUGUUUUCAGCUGGGCCAGUUGGAAAUGCUAGCUUGACAACAAUUGAGAAGCUGUGACAAUAUAGACUUCGCUCCCAACCUCUUAAGAGGCCACUCCAUGCUGAGAGCUGUGGGCCCUGAUGGCGUUUCAGCAGGGAAUGAGGACCGAGCUGGACAUCUGCAUCGGACCUCCCUUGGGGCACUGAAUACUGAGGAAAAAGCCCCAGAUUUUCACCAUACCAUAGUUUGCCCCCUCUCUCUACCUCCUGCUCUUAGAAAAGGGAACAUUUGGGAAGUUCAGCAGCUUUGCUCACUGGCUGGGUCUCUAGCAGAGGCCUGUGCUGGCCAGAGCUGGGCACAAGUAGCUGGGCAGGACUAGCCAGGAGGGUGUGUGGUGCGGCUGUGAGAGCCCAGGUGCCUGCCUGGGGCUCCAGGCACAGGACACAGGCACGCACCAUCAGCAAGCCCACUGCUUCCCGCUGUCAGUUCCCCAACACACUGCCCUCUGGAGCCCUGCCAGGGUCCACGGCAGUGGGCCAGACUUGCUGUAAUAACCAGCACACACCAGAUUUGUGAGGAAAUACCUUCAAUGUGCAACGGUCGAAAACCACCUCAAUGUCCUUAAGAGAACCAGGCAGCCUGUGUGUGGGCUGCACUCAAGUGAACAUAGAUCUGUCAGCAGAUUCUCUCCCGAGCUGUCACCACUGAAAUUUAUGCUGCACACUGGGUCCUCCCUUGCUUGUGAUGCUGACGACAGAUGCAGGCGCUUGCAGAUGAGUGGGUUUGAAGACUGGAAUUAAAACACAAGUGGUUUAUCAGAUUGCGGCCGUGAAGGUGGCAGGAAGCCUAGAACCCGGCUCUCAUUUUCAUUUCCUUUUCCUUUCUGUUUCUUCUUCUUCCUCUUCUCUCCAGUUUUUCAAAAUGUUAUUGGGAUGGUUCACCUUGAUCGAGCUGGUGUCUGAAACACUUCUUGCUGGAAGCAUGUAGAUUCACAGUGUGGAAGGAAGUGUGAAUAUUAGCUCUGCCAGUGCUGGCCAUUAGAACUUUCUGCUGUGAUGCACAUGUUCUCUAUCUUCUCUGUUGAGUUCAGUAGCCACCGGCCCCACGUGGCUAUUGAGCACUUGAAACAUGGCUAAUCUGAUGAAUGGACUGAAUUUUAAAUUUUAUUCCAUUUUAAUUCAAUGGCUGUUUGUGACUAUCUAAAAUUGAAUUUAAAUAGCCAUUUGUGACUAUCGACUACAAACCCAUCCAUUCUAAGAUGGGAAAGUGAGACCCAGGGAGUGGAACUUGCACAAGAACAUGAAGUGAACAGCUGACUCAAGCCAUCUAGAGCAGUCAGUACUUUUUGAUUAACAAAAUUGUAAUUGUUUGAUAUCUGAGCAUAAUGUUUUUAAAUGUUUCAGACCUUACAAAAUAAAAGAAAUAGGCUACUUCUGAACAUUACAUUUUGUUCCAGGUUAAAACUAGCAUAAUUCUGAGGGGUACUGGACAUAAGUGUGAGCAAAGUCUGGGAGAUAGUGAAGGACAGGGAACCCUGGCGUGCUGCAGUCCAUGAGGUCGCAAUGAGUUGCACACGACUUAGUACGUAACACCACCACCAUCAAAGGGGAAGCGGGCUGGAAAAAGUCUGGCCUGUUAUUCCACGAAAGACCCUAGAGUGGCGCUGUUGUAUCGCUUCUGAGGCCCACAGACUUCAAAAUCAAAAAACUCAAACGAACGAAAAAUUCACCUUGUUCUUCCUAUUCCUGC
Long non-coding RNA from Bos taurus (domestic cattle), 3012 nucleotides. The record is from Ensembl. NCBI's taxonomy places the organism in Eukaryota, Metazoa, Chordata, Mammalia, Artiodactyla, Bovidae.